This 483-nucleotide ribosomal RNA is filed under the name uncultured bacterium. Its description in RNAcentral is "bacterial SSU rRNA". It matches the Rfam family "Bacterial small subunit ribosomal RNA", at positions 31 to 507 of the family's 1533-position model. The record is from RNAcentral.
GAACGCUGGGCGGCAUGCUUUACACAUGCAAGUCGAACGGCAGCACGGGAGCUUGCUCCUGGUGGCGAGUGGCGAACGGGUGAGUAAUACAUCGGAACGUACCCUGAAGUGGGGAUAACGUAGCGAAAGUUACGCUAAUACCGCAUAUUCUGUGAGCAGGAAAGAGGGGGAUCGCAAGACCUCUUGCUUUAGGAGCGGCCGAUGUCGGAUUAGCUAGUUGGUGAGGUAAAGGCUCACCAAGGCGACGAUCCGUAGCGGGUCUGAGAGGAUGAUCCGCCACACUGGGACUGAGACACGGCCCAGACUCCUACGGGAGGCAGCAGUGGGGAAUUUUGGACAAUGGGCGCAAGCCUGAUCCAGCCAUGCCGCGUGAGUGAAGAAGGCCUUCGGGUUGUAAAGCUCUUUCGGUGGGGAAGAAAUUGCACAGGAUAAUACCUUGUGUAGAUGACGGUACCCGCAUAAGAAGCACCGGCUAACUACGUG